CUCAUAAAGUAUGUCGUAGUCCGGAUUGGAGUCUGCAACUCGACUCCAUGAAGUCGGAAUCGCUAGUAAUCGUAGAUCAGAAUGCUACGGUGAAUACGUUCCCGGGCCUUGUACACACCGCCCGUCACACCAUGGGAGUGGGUUGCAAAAGAAGUAGGUAGCUUAACCUUCGGGAGGGCGCUUACCACUUUGUGAUUCAUGACUGGGGUGAAGUCGUAACAAGGUAACCGUAGGGGAACCUGCGGUUGGAUCACCUCCUU
Molecule: ribosomal RNA, 260 nt
Filed under: Klebsiella pneumoniae
Lineage: Bacteria; Pseudomonadati; Pseudomonadota; Gammaproteobacteria; Enterobacterales; Enterobacteriaceae
Description: partial 16S ribosomal RNA
Rfam family: Bacterial small subunit ribosomal RNA
Source: RNAcentral